This 72-nucleotide transfer RNA is filed under the name Ornithorhynchus anatinus (platypus). It matches the Rfam family "tRNA". Rfam says of the family: Transfer RNA (tRNA) molecules are approximately 80 nucleotides in length. Their secondary structure includes four short double-helical elements and three loops (D, anti-codon, and T loops). The record is from Rfam by way of RNAcentral. Lineage: Eukaryota; Metazoa; Chordata; Mammalia; Monotremata; Ornithorhynchidae.
AGCAGUGUGGCUCAGUGGAAAGAGCACCGGUUUGGGAGUCAGAGGUCAUGGGUUCUAAUCCCAACUCUACCU